Chelonia mydas (Green sea turtle) is the source of this 584-nucleotide long non-coding RNA. RefSeq lists it as uncharacterized. The transcript is spliced from 3 exons. Lineage: Eukaryota; Metazoa; Chordata; Testudines; Cheloniidae. The record is from RefSeq and is a predicted model, not a curated record.
UGAGGCUUUGGAAACUCCAUUGUGGAACUGGGUGGUGAACAUGUAGAUAUAAUCUGUCUAAACCUGUUAGAAAUCUAAUGGACGUAGGGUUAGAAAAAACUAAUCUGUUAUCCACUGGAGGGUGGAAAGCCGAGAUAGCCACCAGGUGAAUGUUGAUGGAACUACCGACAAGCCCUCGUUGUUUCAGGAACAGGAAAUAAUCUAGGAUACGAGGAUUCGAAGCUUGGGCUGGGAGGAUGCCUCUUUGUGCAUACCAUAUGGAGAAUCUCUUCUAUUUUGCAAGUUGCAAAUAGAUCCACCAGUGAGUACCCCACUGAUAGAAAAGGGCAUUGGACACAUCCAGACGAAGGAACCACUUGGGGUGGCCUGCAAACUAUCUGCUCAGGCAUUCUGCAAGGGUGUACUGAACCCCUGAAAGGAGGAAUGCCAUAUGAGCCAAAUAGCCCAGAGCUCUUUGAUAUUUAUAUGAAGAGUGAGGUCUACAAUGAUCGAUGCCCAUGAGCUUCAUGGGGGCCUAAGUGAGCUCCCCAACCUAGAUUUGAUGCAUCCGUGCCUAAAGAGACUGUCUGUCAAGGAGAAGCAAA